CCGGGCUUUCCCUCGCCAUAGCCCAACUCUAUAUAUAAUCUUCGUCUCACUCCGCGCUAGGGCAAAAGCGAAAAAAUAAGUAGUGGUACUUCAGCGUUAGGUAUGUGGCGCUGCGUCUCCAAAAUCGUCAAAUGGCGCCAAGUUCAGGUUAACUCUGCAACUUUUUCACUCAAAACACACAGAAGCAGUGGUGGUUUAGAUUUGAGAAUCAAUGAAAUCGGUGGUGCCGCAGUGAAGAAGUACGCCACUUCAUGUGAAACAUUUCCUGUAGAUACUCCAGAUAGGGAUUGUUCUGAUGUGUUGAUCGAUUCAUUCGGGAGGCGGCAUACGUAUUUGAGGAUAUCACUAACAGAACGAUGCAAUCUGCGAUGCCAGUACUGUAUGCCUGCUGAAGGUGUAGAACUAACUCCCAACCCCAACCUUCUCUCACAGGAUGAGAUUAUUCGUGUGGCAAACCUCUUUGUCAGUUCUGGGGUUACAAAAAUUCGACUGACUGGUGGGGAGCCGACUGUUAGAAAGGAUAUUGACCAAAUCUGCUCAAGGCUUUCCAAGUUAGAUGGGUUAAAGAGUCUGGCUAUAACCACCAAUGGAAUUAUUCUGGCGAAUAAGCUUCCGAGGUUGAAAGAAUGUGGACUUAGUUUGUUGAACAUUAGUUUAGACACAUUGGUUCCGGCGAAGUUUGAAUUUAUGACUAGACGGAAGGGGCAUGAAAGAGUGCUAAAAUCAAUAGAUGCUGCCAUAGAGUUGGGAUAUAGUCCUGUCAAAGUGAACUGUGUUGUAAUGCGCGGAUUCAAUGAUGAUGAAAUCUGUGAUUUUGUUGAGAUGACACGUGAGAAGCCUAUCAACGUGCGGUUUAUUGAGUUCAUGCCUUUCGAUGGAAAUGUGUGGAAUGAAAAGAAAUUGGUAUCCUUCGCUGAAAUGAUGGAUAUUGUGGAUAAAAGGUAUACAGGACUUAGAAGGAUCAAGGAUCACCACACUGAGACAGCCAAGAACUUUAGCAUAGACGGACAUCAGGGUACCGUUUCUUUCAUCACAUCGAUGACACAGCAUUUUUGUGCUGGUUGUAAUAGAUUGAGACUUUUGGCAGACGGAAACUUUAAAGUUUGUCUGUUUGGUCCUUCAGAGGUUAGCUUGAGGGAUCCUCUACGUUCUGGUGCUGAUGACAAUGAACUAAAGGAAAUCAUUGGAGCAGCAAUCAAAAGAAAGAAAGCGGCUCAUGCUGGGAUGUUUGACCUUGCCAAGACUCCAAACAGACCAAUGAUACACAUUGGUGGCUAGAGCUUAUAAGCCCGGUUAGUUGCUGCACGAGCUCCCGGAAAUUCUGGACAUCGGUCUUGAUGAUUUCUGGAGCAAUGAUGUGAAUUAUACGUAUCUUUGGUUUUUGUUUGACAAUCGUAUGAGAACUGUUGUGAAUCACCAGCUUGGAUGGAGCUAUGGCUGUGUCACCAGAUCGAGCUUUCAUAUUUAUCUGCAGUGACUGACGAAAUCCUCUGAUUAUAGUUGGGAAAUUUUGGUUAUAUUGGCUGAUGAGAUCUUUCUAUAUAUUUAUACCGUAGAAGUAACAAUAAAAAGUCGCCGUUUGGAGGCAACAACGAGGUGGGUUGCUUCUAUCUCUGUAAAACUUGACUUUAAAGAACACAACUUGAGAGGCAUACAUGGAUUUAAAAAAUCCAUACCUGUCAAGAUCCCUUGUGGUUUACUUGCAGGAAUUGAAUACAGAAGUCAACCGUUAUCGCGAUGCUCAUUCGUCGGUAGAUGCAAGUUGGGAAUGAAGGGCUCUCAUCCAUCAUUCAUCAGGCUGUCAUCCAACUGGUAUGUGUGUGUGUGUGUGUGUUUGAGAUCUUUUUGUAUAAGUUUAUGGUUGCUUUGGCAUUGACUUUUGUUGUCAAUAAUUUAAUUGUUUGUGUACAUGGGAAGCAUGUUGUUUGAGAUCACAGUGUGUGUUUGUUGAGUUUGAGCUGACAUAUUUGAGGUUUGGGGGUUUAUUACAAAGAUGGUUUUGAUUA
Andrographis paniculata is the source of this 2006-nucleotide RNA transcript. It is a transcript of the gene named GTP 3',8-cyclase, mitochondrial-like, with no coding region annotated. NCBI's taxonomy places the organism in Eukaryota, Viridiplantae, Streptophyta, Magnoliopsida, Lamiales, Acanthaceae. The record is from RefSeq and is a predicted model, not a curated record. The transcript has 8 exons.